RNAcentral lists this long non-coding RNA (996 nucleotides) under Prunus persica (peach). RNAcentral's name for it is "long non-coding RNA (PPER_LNC006549)". The record is from RNAcentral. Lineage: Eukaryota; Viridiplantae; Streptophyta; Magnoliopsida; Rosales; Rosaceae.
UUGGGUCAAGCCCAAGCCCACCCCAUUCUCCCUUUUGGGUCUGAAUUACUUAAAAUUUUAUAUUUAUUGGAGACUCUUUUUUGGUCGAAAUAUUUAUUGGAGAAUUGAAGUGUGAUUUUGGGGACACCCAAAUAUUGUCUUUGGAGGCUCAUAUUUUAUUCUUUUAAUUACAACGUAUAUCCCUUUUGUAAAAUGUUUUUUUGUUUUUUUGUUAACUACAUGAUCUCUAGAAAAAUUUACGAAUUUGUUUGGACAGCCACCUCACACUAACAACACCAGCACCUCCCGCGACUCCCUCAACCUUUAAUCAUAUUCAUAGUUUAAAAUAUUGAGGAUAUUAUCGUGUUUUCAGGUCACAGAUAUUUCAGAAUGUAUCAAUACACAUAUCGUAUAAAUAUCGAUAAUAUCAAAAAAUAUCGAUGCCAAUAUUUAUUGGAGACUCUUUCUUGGUCGAAAUAUUUAUUGGAGAAUUGAAGUGUGAUUUUGGGGACACCCAAAUAUUGUCUUUGGAGGCUCAUAUUUUAUUCUUUUAAUUACAACGUAUAUCCCUUUUGUAAAAUGAUUUUUUUUUUUUUUUUGUUAACUACAUGAUCUCUAGAAAAAUUUACGAAUUUGUUUGGACAGCCACCUCACACUAACAACACCAGCACCUCCCGCGACUCCCUCAACCUUUAAUCAUAUUUCAUAGUUGAAAAUAUUGAGGAUAUUUAUCGUGUUUUCAGGUCACAGAUAUUUCAGAAUGUAUCAAUACACAUAUCGUAUAAAUAUCGAUAAUAUCAAAAAAUAUCGAUGCCAAUAUUUAUUGGAGACUCUUUCUUGGUCGAAAUAUUUAUUGGAGAAUUGAAGUGUGAUUUUGGGGACACCCAAAUAUUGUCUUUGGAGGCUCAUAUUUUAUUCUUUUAAUUACAACAUAUAUCCCUUUUGUAAAAUGAUUUUUUUUUUUUUUUUUGUUAACUACAUGAUCUCUAGAAAAAUUUACGAAUUUGUUUGGACAGC